GACGAACGCUGGCGGCGUGCUUAACACAUGCAAGUCGAACGGAAAGGCCCUGCUUUUGUGGGGUGCUCGAGUGGCGAACGGGUGAGUAACACGUGAGUAACCUGCCCUUGACUUUGGGAUAACUUCAGGAAACUGGGGCUAAUACCGGAUAGGAGCUCCUGCUGCAUGGUGGGGGUUGGAAAGUUUCGGCGGUUGGGGAUGGACUCGCGGCUUAUCAGCUUGUUGGUGGGGUAGUGGCUUACCAAGGCUUUGACGGGUAGCCGGCCUGGGAGGGUGGCCGGCCACCUUGGGCCUGCGGUACGGCGCAGACUCCUACGGGGGGCAGCAGUGGGGAAUAUUGCACAAUGGGCGGAAGCCUGAUGCAGCAACGCCGCGUGCGGGAUGACGGCCUUCGGGUUGUAAACCGCUUUCGCCUGUGACGAAGCGUGAGUGACGGUAAUGGGUAAAGAAGCACCGGCUAACUACGUG
RNAcentral lists this ribosomal RNA (468 nucleotides) under uncultured bacterium. Its description in RNAcentral is "partial 16S ribosomal RNA". It matches the Rfam family "Bacterial small subunit ribosomal RNA", at positions 28 to 507 of the family's 1533-position model. The record is from RNAcentral.